CUGAUGCCCCUGCCCCACACACACCACUGCAUGAAGGCCGCUCAUACACCCAAAGGAAUACUGAUGCCCCUGCCCCACACACACCACUGCAUGAAGGCCGCUCAUACACCCAAAGGAAUACUGAUGCCCCUGCCCCACACACACCACUGCAUGAAGGCCGCUCAUACACCCAAAGGAAUACUGAUGCCCCUCCCCCACACACACCACUGCAUGAAGGCCGCUCAUACACCCAAAGCAACCACACCUUUGACACAGCUGCACCUGUGUCAAUUAAUCACAUGACCCCCAACAUGAGAACAGUGUUAAAGAGAGGAUAUUUGUGUUUUGUUUUGUAAGAUGGCAGACGCCCGUCCUACUCCGACCCAUACGGACGGUAUCCCUAGAGGUCCAAAAUGCUCCAUGCCAAAUCCUUAACUCCAACUUUCUAUGGUCCUUCUUUUAUUGUGUACUUUUUAAACUGUUUGUAAAAGGAAGAAAACUCAUAGGAAACUCAUUUGUCUGUUGUAAGGUCAGUGAAGCAGAUGAAUGAGUACAAUGUAGAUUGUUGAAGAAGUACAUCUGGCGGAAUAUUAUGUGUUUGUUACAUACAGUAGAAUAAAAGACACAGCGGUGGGCCACGUGCAUUAUAUUACUGUAUGUACCUCUGUACAUGUUGGGUUUCCUAAUGGAGACUACUUUUGUAAUAAAAGCAUGCUCAUUUAAGAAUAUCUAUUGGAAUGUCUUUUUCAUCCAGGACGACACUGAUUCUGGGUCUGGGAAGCUGGACAAUAGUAUUGGAUUUCUGGUUUCUGUAUUGUGAAGCUUUCUAUGUACAGUUUGUCACCUGGCUGUUUUAUUUUGAAGUCCUUUGGCAUUCAUUACUGUAUGUCAUUGUAAGCAUUUUGGCUGUGUGCCAAAAGGAUGUGAAUGUGUACUGUUGGUUUUUGGAACUUAUUAAAUAUAAUGAUGUCAAAUCAAAUAGUGGAUUUGCUUGUUUUAGGGCUAAUUUCUGUUCAGUGAUAAUAAAAAUGUAUGCAAAAGAGACCCAGGUCUCAAUGCUAAAAUAAAGGUAAAAAAGC
Molecule: long non-coding RNA, 1058 nt
Organism: Oncorhynchus tshawytscha (Chinook salmon)
Lineage: Eukaryota; Metazoa; Chordata; Actinopteri; Salmoniformes; Salmonidae
Source: Ensembl